GAGGGUAUAGUUUAGUGAUAAAGUGUGUGCUUAGCAUGUACAUGGUCCUGGGUUUAACCCCCAGUACUCCUG
This 72-nucleotide transfer RNA is filed under the name Camelus bactrianus (Bactrian camel). It matches the Rfam family "tRNA". Rfam says of the family: Transfer RNA (tRNA) molecules are approximately 80 nucleotides in length. Their secondary structure includes four short double-helical elements and three loops (D, anti-codon, and T loops). Lineage: Eukaryota; Metazoa; Chordata; Mammalia; Artiodactyla; Camelidae. RNAcentral also lists the same sequence under 2 other names. The record is from Rfam by way of RNAcentral.